UACGAAGGGGGCUAGCGUUGCUCGGAAUCACUGGGCGUAAAGCGCACGUAGGCGGCUUUCUAAGUCAGGGGUGAAAUCCUGGAGCUCAACUCCAGAACUGCCUUUGAUACUGGAGAGCUUGAGUCCGGGAGAGGUGAGUGGAACUCCGAGUGUAGAGGGGAAAUUCGUAGAUAUUCGGAAGAACACCAGUGGCGAAGGCGGCUCACUGGCCCGGUACUGACGCUGAGGUGCGAAAGCGUGGGGAGCAAACAGG
Molecule: ribosomal RNA, 253 nt
Filed under: uncultured bacterium
Lineage: Bacteria
Description: partial 16S ribosomal RNA
Rfam family: Bacterial small subunit ribosomal RNA
Source: RNAcentral